Molecule: ribosomal RNA, 485 nt
Filed under: uncultured bacterium
Lineage: Bacteria
Description: partial 16S ribosomal RNA
Rfam family: Bacterial small subunit ribosomal RNA
Source: RNAcentral
AUUGAACGCUGGCGACAUGCCUUACACAUGCAAGUCGAACGGCAGCACGGGUGCUUGCACCUGGUGGCGAGUGGCGAACGGGUGAGUAAUACAUCGGAACAUGUCCUUUAGUGGGGGAUAGCCCGGCGAAAGCCGGAUUAAUACCGCAUACGAUCUACGGAUGACAGCGGGGGACCUUCGGGCCUCGCUCUAUAGGGUUUGCCGAUGGCUGAUUAGCUAGUUGGUGGGGUAAAGGCCUACCAAGGCGACGAUCAGUAGCUGGUCUGAGAGGACGACCAGUCACACUGGGACUGAGACACGGCCCAGACUCCUACGGGAGGCAGCAGUGGGGAAUUUUGGACAAUGGCGAAAGCCUGAUCCAGCAAUGCCGCGUGUGUGAAGAAGGCCUUCGGGUUGUAAAGCACUUUUGUCCGGAAAGAAAUCCUUGGCCCUAAUACGGUCGGGGGAUGACGGUACCGGAAGAAUAAGCACCGGCUAACUACGUG